AACGAACGCUGGCGGCAGGCCUAACACAUGCAAGUCGAGCGCGCCCUUCGGGGUGAGCGGCGGACGGGUGAGUAACGCGUGGGAACGUGCCCUUUUCUACGGAAUAGCCUCGGGAAACUGAGAGUAAUACCGUAUACGCCCUUUGGGGGAAAGAUUUAUCGGAAAAGGAUCGGCCCGCGUUGGAUUAGGUAGUUGGUGGGGUAAUGGCCUACCAAGCCGACGAUCCAUAGCUGGUUUGACAGGAUGAUCAGCCACACUGGGACUGAGACACGGCCCAGACUCCUACGGGAGGCAGCAGUGGGGAAUCUUAGACAAUGGGGGCAACCCUGAUCGAGCCAUGCCGCGUGAGUGAUGAAGGCCUUAGGGUUGUAAAGCUCUUUCAGCUGGGAAGAUAAUGACGGUACCAGCAGAAGAAGCCCCGGCUAACUCCGUG
This 433-nucleotide ribosomal RNA is filed under the name uncultured bacterium. RNAcentral describes it as "partial 16S ribosomal RNA". It matches the Rfam family "Bacterial small subunit ribosomal RNA", at positions 29 to 507 of the family's 1533-position model. The record is from RNAcentral.